GUUUUUUUUCUGAUUUGUACUUUUGAUUCAUGAUCUGAUUUUUCAUAAGGAAGCCUCGACAGCGUUUGUUUUCCUAUUGAAGAUCUCACAUUCAAGUCUUCACUGUCAAGAGCAAGCAGGGGAUAGAAUGUACCAAGUAACUUAGCAACCAUCCAAAUUCCAUCCACAUUCCAGGCCUGUGCUCCAGUUCUAUGGGAAACACCAUUCAAUCCAGAAAUAGACAAGAAAGAGGGUUGAAACCUUCAUGACAAUGCUAGAGAAUUAACAGUGAGAGAUGCAUUAAGCAACAACACAGUUUUGCCUUUUACAAGCUCCCUGAGGUUUUUAUUUCAGUCAGAGGACCAAGAUUUCAGUUCAAGUCACUGGAAGAAAAGAGCUGUCAUUUAUGCUCUCUACUUACAGGUAAAUUGUCUUGUGAUUAUUUCCACAGAACUCUGACUUGGAUAAGUUCCCCAGAGGGCAUGACCAAGGAUUAUAUCUUUUGUGAUGAUAUGAAUGAUACAUCUUAGCCCCUUUACUUGCUAGAUGACUUCUCUUUAUUUCACAAUCAGAUAAGAACAGAGAAGACUCAAGCUGGUUAGCAGAUUUUUUGUUUUCCUCUCAAACUACAGCUACCUAAGAUCAGAACGCUCUGAUCAUUUGUGCUGCUAUUUUAAGAUCCAGUUUCAUUCUACAACUGGCUGAAGCAUGAAGUCAACUAAAAUAAACUGAAUUGAGUGGAACUGAACUGAACUGAAGUGAAAUAAUGUGAUUUCCAGUAAACCUGACACCUUAAGGACAGAACAUGAGCCUUGCCCAUCUUCCUCCCAGAGGUCCCAGCACAAUCACCGACUCACACAAUACUCUCAGUGCAUGAGUGAUGAAUUUCACUAACAGCGACCCAUCUCUCUCUACAUAAUCCACUCCGAUUUCACCAUAGCUGUAAGCUAAUGACCAAAGCACAUAACUGAAUUCAAACAUAUUCUUUAUUGCAGUCAGAUGUGAGAAAACAAAAUUUAGAAGACAAGCCAGAAAGGAAAUGAAGAACAUAAAGAGCCUGAAUUCUC
This 1046-nucleotide long non-coding RNA is filed under the name Pan troglodytes (chimpanzee). RNAcentral describes it as "lncRNA (ENSPTRG00000054131.1)". The record is from RNAcentral. Lineage: Eukaryota; Metazoa; Chordata; Mammalia; Primates; Hominidae.